Molecule: non-coding RNA, 72 nt
Organism: Mycoemilia scoparia
Lineage: Eukaryota; Fungi; Kickxellomycota; Kickxellomycetes; Kickxellales; Kickxellaceae
Source: the annotation of a GenBank genome assembly
UCCGUUAUAGUCCAGUGGUUAGGAUUCCUGGCUCUCACCCAGGCGGCCCGGGUUCAAUUCCCGGUAACGGAA